GCCCUCGUAGCUCAAUGGUAGAGCGCGUCACUAGUAUGCAUGUAAUGACGAGGUUGCCGGUUCGAUUCCGUCCGAGGGCA
RNAcentral lists this transfer RNA (80 nucleotides) under Blumeria hordei DH14. RNAcentral's name for it is "tRNA-Thr for anticodon AGU". It matches the Rfam family "tRNA". Rfam says of the family: Transfer RNA (tRNA) molecules are approximately 80 nucleotides in length. Their secondary structure includes four short double-helical elements and three loops (D, anti-codon, and T loops). Further hydrogen bonds mediate the characteristic L-shaped molecular structure. tRNAs have two regions of fundamental functional importance: the anti-codon, which is responsible for specific mRNA codon recognition, and the 3' end, to which the tRNAs corresponding amino acid is attached (by aminoacyl-tRNA synthetases). tRNAs cope with the degeneracy of the genetic code in two manners: having more than one tRNA (with a specific anti-codon) for a particular amino acid; and 'wobble' base-pairing, i.e. permitting non-standard base-pairing at the 3rd anti-codon position. Lineage: Eukaryota; Fungi; Ascomycota; Leotiomycetes; Helotiales; Erysiphaceae. The record is from Rfam by way of RNAcentral.